RNAcentral lists this long non-coding RNA (662 nucleotides) under Salvator merianae (Argentine black and white tegu). RNAcentral describes it as "lncRNA (ENSSMRG00000018221.1)". The record is from RNAcentral. Lineage: Eukaryota; Metazoa; Chordata; Lepidosauria; Squamata; Teiidae.
CAGAACCUCACCCAGAAGAUGCCAUGAAGAUCAGUUGUGACUCAGACAGCGGAACGAACAGGGUGGCAAAGGAGGCACAAGGCUUGGGUUGGUGAUUUGCCUUUGAUUUUUCCAGAUUACAGUUACAUCUACACCUGAUCAAAAUGCAGUUGAGAGGGAGCAGAGGUGAGGCGCUAAGAAAUGAGCACAUGCAUGAUGAUUACCUGUCACGAUGGCUGAACUUUUAGAGCUGGUAAAUGCCGUCGUAUUCCUGGCACCACUGGAGUCUAUGAAAAAUGUAAGUCUUUAUUGCACACAAGUCCUUCUCAACAGACUUUAUCCUGUUUGUCCAUGGAAGAAUCUUUACAGUCUUUCGUCAAACAAUAGGAGUGAAAACUCUGAUAACAGGCAUGUGUUCUUCCUCUGGAGUUCUGUUGAUAACAAGCAUAAGCCCAUGGUUCGAAGUUUAAUAUACAGCAUAUAUAGGAUGCCUCUAAAAACCAUUUGCAGGGAGUCGAGAGCAGGUGAAGNUUUUGCCGUUGUCUUCUGCUUGAAGAUGUCCAGAAGUGAUUGGAGGGCCACUGUGUGAGACAGGAUGCUGGAGUAGAUGGGCUGUGGCCUGAUCCAGCAGGGCUCCUCUUACCCUUGCUCUCUCCAGGUUGGAGAGGCAGGCAGGAUGUCUC